Long non-coding RNA from Planococcus citri (citrus mealybug), 2119 nucleotides. RefSeq lists it as uncharacterized. The transcript is spliced from 3 exons. NCBI's taxonomy places the organism in Eukaryota, Metazoa, Arthropoda, Insecta, Hemiptera, Pseudococcidae. The record is from RefSeq and is a predicted model, not a curated record.
UCUCACAAAAUUCAGCUCAUUUUGAUAGGUUACGAAAUUAAUUUUUUUUCACCUUCCGUAAUACCAUCGCUCUAAGGUAAAUUUGUUUUUUGAGGGUGCAAAUAUUACGUAGAUUGUAGACUUUCGCGAAUUUUCCAACGAGUUUGAAAACACAGACAAGAUUGCACACCAGUACCUUGUAUCGUAGCAUGCGAACGAUAUUUUUAUGCAUGAUUCAAAAAACCAACAAGAAUGAGUAAUUUUGCACUUGUACCUGCUUCGAAUUUCGAUUUAUUUGAAAAUUAUUUGCUUUAUGCGUGAAUAUUGGAAACAUAAGAUUAUGAUUUAGGUAAAUCGUGUCAAAUUUGUGUGUACACAAGUGUUAUAGGUACCGCAAAUACAUCGUGAUUAAACACCAACGUAGCUACAGCCUACACACUUUUGUGUUUACACAUUUUUCAAAAUAUAUAUAAAUGAAAGAACCAAUAACUUGUAAAACAGUAUCACUUUGAAGUUUGUCAUUUCUUGUACUUAGAAAAAACCAUUUGGUAUCCGAGUGAUAAUAUCCAAUUUUUGAAAACCGUAUCACUUUACUACACGAUUACAUCAAAUUAUUGUGAUUCUAAAUUUCCAGAGCACCGCAGCGAUGUCAGCACGAUUUUCAGUAGCCAUUUUCUUUGUUAUGCAAAUGUUAUUCAUUUUGGAUAAUUCGGAUGCUUUCAAUAUAACUGCGCAACAAUUCGAAAACGUCUGGAAGUGCGCAGAUAUCUGCAAAAUGGAAUCAGGCGCGUAUAAGUAUAAAAUUGACGAUGUCUGCGCCCUGCUGAUGGAGUAUAAUUAUGUAACUGCAAAUGCAAUGUAUACUGAAGAACAGAUAAGAGAACUCAGUGCAUGUGGAGAGCACAAUGUACAGCUGCAAAAUGGAACCAAAAAAUAUACUGUUCUCUUGUGUACGUUGAGCGGUCAGGUCACUGGUAAAAUAUGUGUCACCCAAGGUAAAAUAACUAGGAAUAUUUUCACGUAUAAUUACGACGCAGCGAAAGAUACUUGUUUUCCGCUUGAAGAGAAACCGGGAGUUGCUUGAGCAUGUUUUAGGUGAAAAAAGAUGUGCGGUUUAUUGAGGUAUAGUGCAGAUAUCUGCAAAAAGGAAUCAGGCUCGUAUAAGUAUCACAUUGAGGAUGUUUGUGUCCUGCUGAUGGGCUAUAAUUAUGUAACUGCAAAUGCAAUGCAUGCUGAAGCACGGAUAAGAGAACUCAGUUUAUGUGGAGAUCACAAUGUAAAGCUGAAGGAUGGAACCAAAAAAUAUACUGUCCUCUUGUGUACCUUGAGCGGCCAGGUCACUGGUAAAAUAUGUGUUACCAAAGGUAAAAGAACUAAAGAUAUUUUCGUCUAUAAUUAUGACCAAGACUCGGAUACUUGUACUCCGUUUGACGAGAAAACGGGAGUUGCCUGAGUUAAUUUUAGGUGGAUAAGGAUGAGUGAGGUGAGUAUAUUAUUAUUCUUGUUGUGUUUUAGAUAAGUUUUAUUCAUUAUUAUUAAGUAAUUUUUUGAAAAAUAGGUGAUUGGGUUUAAUUUAUUAUUAUUAAGUAAUUAAAAAAAAAAAGUAGGUGCAUGGUUGGGUCUGUGUAGUUGAAGCUAGCUACUAGAUUGGUAUUUCUGCCAGAUUUAUUGAGUGUGACUUGUGAGUCGUGGUCUGUAAAAUUAUCAUUAAGUAAUAUAAGUCAUCUAUUUUAUAAGUUGGUAAGUUAGGAUUUUAUCAAUGAAUAUGAUUAUUGAUUUAAAUUAGGUAAGUAAAAUAUUCAUUAUUCUUCAGAGAAAAAAAUGAAAAUUGGGUGGUAGGAUAAUAUAGUAAAAUGCUACCCGAUAUCUAAUAUUUUUAUGUAAGUAUGUAGGUAUCUCAAUAUUUAUGAAACAUUACAGAGGUACGUAUAGGUAUGCAUAACUAGUCUACUCAGUUGUAAAGUAGGUACCUACCUAUUUUUAAUUUUUCAUUAAGUAAUUCAAAUUUAAAGUUACGCUUACGCAUCUACUAGCUCUAGAUUUACCUGCAUAUCAUUAACAUUUAAUUUCAAAACAACGAUUGUCACCCUUUUUAUUUUGUUUCUGGAAUCAUUAUACGCAUUAAACAAUUUGCAAUCAA